RNAcentral lists this ribosomal RNA (490 nucleotides) under uncultured bacterium. Its description in RNAcentral is "partial 16S ribosomal RNA". It matches the Rfam family "Bacterial small subunit ribosomal RNA", at positions 29 to 507 of the family's 1533-position model. The record is from RNAcentral.
AAUGAACGCUGGCGGCAUGCCCUACACAUGCAAGUCGAACGGCAGCAUGACCUAGCUUGCUAGGUUGAUGGCGAGUGGCGAACGGGUGAGUAAUGCAUCGGAACGUGCCUUUUAGUGGGGGAUAACGUAGCGAAAGUUACGCUAAUACCGCAUAUUCUCUGAGGAGGAAAGCAGGGGACCUUCGGGCCUUGCGCUAGAAGAGCGGCCGAUGUCGGAUUAGCUAGUUGGUGAGGUAAAGGCUCACCAAGGCAACGAUCCGUAGCGGGUCUGAGAGGAUGAUCCGCCACACUGGGACUGAGACAAGGCCCAGACUCCUACGGGAGGCAGCAGUGGGGAAUUUUGGACAAUGGGCGCAAGCCUGAUCCAGCCAUGCCGCGUGAGUGAAGAAGGCCUUCGGGUUGUAAAGCUCUUUCGGCUGGGAAGAAAUCGCACCCUCUAAUACAGGGUGUGGAUGACGGUACCAGCAUAAGAAGCACCGGCUAACUACGUG